Molecule: ribosomal RNA, 1322 nt
Filed under: Salmonella enterica subsp. enterica serovar Typhimurium
Lineage: Bacteria; Pseudomonadati; Pseudomonadota; Gammaproteobacteria; Enterobacterales; Enterobacteriaceae
Description: partial 23S ribosomal RNA
Rfam family: Bacterial large subunit ribosomal RNA
Source: RNAcentral
CAAAUCGUACCCCAAACCGACACAGGUGGUCAGGUAGAGAAUACCAAGGCGCUUGAGAGAACUCGGGUGAAGGAACUAGGCAAAAUGGUGCCGUAACUUCGGGAGAAGGCACGCUGACACGUAGGUGAAGUGAUUUACUCAUGGAGCUGAAGUCAGUCGAAGAUACCAGCUGGCUGCAACUGUUUAUUAAAAACACAGCACUGUGCAAACACGAAAGUGGACGUAUACGGUGUGACGCCUGCCCGGUGCCGGAAGGUUAAUUGAUGGGGUCAGCGCAAGCGAAGCUCCUGAUCGAAGCCCCGGUAAACGGCGGCCGUAACUAUAACGGUCCUAAGGUAGCGAAAUUCCUUGUCGGGUAAGUUCCGACCUGCACGAAUGGCGUAAUGAUGGCCAGGCUGUCUCCACCCGAGACUCAGUGAAAUUGAACUCGCUGUGAAGAUGCAGUGUACCCGCGGCAAGACGGAAAGACCCCGUGAACCUUUACUAUAGCUUGACACUGAACAUUGAGCCUUGAUGUGUAGGAUAGGUGGGAGGCUUUGAAGUGUGGACGCCAGUCUGCAUGGAGCCGACCUUGAAAUACCACCCUUUAAUGUUUGAUGUUCUAACGUGGACCCGUUACCCGGGUUGCGGACAGUGUCUGGUGGGUAGUUUGACUGGGGCGGUCUCCUCCUAAAGAGUAACGGAGGAGCACGAAGGUUGGCUAAUCCUGGUCGGACAUCAGGAGGUUAGUGCAAUGGCAUAAGCCAGCUUGACUGCGAGCGUGACGGCGCGAGCAGGUGCGAAAGCAGGUCAUAGUGAUCCGGUGGUUCUGAAUGGAAGGGCCAUCGCUCAACGGAUAAAAGGUACUCCGGGGAUAACAGGCUGAUACCGCCCAAGAGUUCAUAUCGACGGCGGUGUUUGGCACCUCGAUGUCGGCUCAUCACAUCCUGGGGCUGAAGUAGGUCCCAAGGGUAUGGCUGUUCGCCAUUUAAAGUGGUACGCGAGCUGGGUUUAGAACGUCGUGAGACAGUUCGGUCCCUAUCUGCCGUGGGCGCUGGAGAACUGAGGGGGGCUGCUCCUAGUACGAGAGGACCGGAGUGGACGCAUCACUGGUGUUCGGGUUGUCAUGCCAAUGGCACUGCCCGGUAGCUAAAUGCGGAAGAGAUAAGUGCUGAAAGCAUCUAAGCACGAAACUUGCCCCGAGAUGAGUUCUCCCUGAGACUUAGAGUCUCCUGAAGGAACGUUGAAGACGACGACGUUGAUAGGCCGGGUGUGUAAGCGCAGCGAUGCGUUGAGCUAACCGGUACUAAUGAACCGUGAGGCUUAACCUUACAACGCCGAAG